UUGAGCGGAGAUAUAUGGAGCUUGCUUUAUAUAACUUAGCAGCGAACGGGUGAGUAACACGUAGAUAAUCUAUCCUAUACUGAGGGAUAGCCCGAUGAAAGUUGGAUUAAUACCGCAUAUAGCUAUAUAGUUGCAUGAUUAUGUAGUGAAAGAUUUAUUGGUAUAGGAGGAGUCUGCGGCACAUUAGCUAGUAGGUGAGGUAAAGGCUUACCUAGGCGACGAUGUGUAGCCGGUCUGAGAGGAUGAACGGCCACAAUGGAACUGAGACACGGUCCAUACUCCUACGGGAGGCAGCAGUGGGGAAUAUUGCACAAUGGGGGAAACCCUGAUGCAGCAACGCCGCGUGAGUGAAGAAGGUUUUCGGAUUGUAAAGCUCUGUUAGCAGGGAAGAGGAAGGACGGUACCUGCAGAGGAAGCCACGGCUAACUACGUGCCAGCAGCCGCGGUAAUACGUAGGUGGCAAGCGUUGUUCGGAAUAACUGGGCGUAAAGGAUGCGUAGGCGGUUAAACAAGUUAUAUGUUAAAUAUAUAGGCUUAACCUGUAGAAAGCAUAUAAAACUGUUUAACUAGAGUGCAGGAGAGGUAAGUGGAAUUCCUAGUGCAGCGGUGAAAUGCGUAGAGAUUAGGAAGAACACCAGUGGCGAAGGCGACUUACUGGACUGUAACUGACGCUGAGGCAUGAGAGCAUGGGGAGCAAACAGGAUUAGAUACCCUGGUAGUCCAUGCUGUAAACGAUGGGUACUAGGUGUGGGUUGUGAAUAACAAUUCGUGCCGUCGCAAACGCAAUAAGUACCCCGCCUGAGGAGUACGAUCGCA
This 816-nucleotide ribosomal RNA is filed under the name uncultured bacterium. RNAcentral's name for it is "bacterial SSU rRNA". It matches the Rfam family "Bacterial small subunit ribosomal RNA", at positions 62 to 890 of the family's 1533-position model. The record is from RNAcentral.